This is a small nuclear RNA of Gadus morhua (Atlantic cod), 132 nucleotides long. Its record names the gene U1. It matches the Rfam family "U1 spliceosomal RNA". Rfam says of the family: U1 is a small nuclear RNA (snRNA) component of the spliceosome (involved in pre-mRNA splicing). Its 5' end forms complementary base pairs with the 5' splice junction, thus defining the 5' donor site of an intron. The record is from Ensembl. NCBI's taxonomy places the organism in Eukaryota, Metazoa, Chordata, Actinopteri, Gadiformes, Gadidae.
AUAAUUGAAUUGGUUCACCCAGGGCGAGGCUGAGCCAUUGCACUUCGGCUGCGCUGACCCGUGCGAAUUCUUCAAAUGUGGGAAUCUCAACUGCAUAAUUUGUGGUAUUGGGGGACUGCGUGAGAGUCUGCA